AGAGCGAACGCUGGCGGCAGGCCUAACACAUGCAAGUCGAACGCCCAGCAAUGGGAGUGGCAGACGGGAUAGUAACACGUGGGAACGCGCCCUUCGGUUCGGAAUAACUCAGGGAAACUUGAGCUAAAUACCAGAUACGCCCUUACGGGGAAAGAUUUAUUGCCGAAGGAACGGCCCGCGUCGGAUUAGCUAGUUGGUGAGGUAAUGGCUCACCAAGGCGACGAUCCGUAGCUGGUCUGAGAGGAUGACCAGCAUCACUGGGACUGAGACACGGCCCAGACUCCUACGGGAGGCAGCAGUGGGGAAUAUUGGACAAUGGGCGCAAGCCUGAUCCAGCCAUGCCGCGUGGAUGAUGAGGCCCUAGGGUUGUAAAGUCCUUUAAGGGGAGAUAAUGACGGUACCGAGAAUAAGCCCGGCUAACUUCGCGCCAGCAGCCGC
RNAcentral lists this ribosomal RNA (438 nucleotides) under uncultured bacterium. Its description in RNAcentral is "SSU rRNA". It matches the Rfam family "Bacterial small subunit ribosomal RNA", at positions 26 to 518 of the family's 1533-position model. The record is from RNAcentral.